UCACGAAAAGGCAAACCCAGGGAAACCUGGAGACGCAAAGCCAAGGGCCCUUUGGGGCAGCCUAGCUACCGAAU
This 74-nucleotide non-coding RNA is filed under the name Desulfuromonadaceae bacterium. RNAcentral's name for it is "c-di-GMP sequence". It matches the Rfam family "c-di-GMP-I riboswitch aptamer". From Rfam's summary of the family: GEMM was predicted in a large-scale screen for bacterial structured RNA regulatory elements. Genes associated with GEMM are involved in a diverse array of functions, including chemotaxis regulation, signal transduction, secretion and chitin. The record is from RNAcentral. Lineage: Bacteria; Pseudomonadati; Thermodesulfobacteriota; Desulfuromonadia; Desulfuromonadales; Desulfuromonadaceae.